UACAGAGGUCCCAAGCGUUGUCCGGAAUUAUUGGGCGUAAAGAGCUCGUAGGCGGUUUGUCGCGUCGAAUGUGAAAACCCGGGGCUCAACUCCGGGCCUGCAUUCGAUACGGGCAGACUAGAGUUCGGUAGGGGAGACUGGAAUUCCUGGUGUAGCGGUGAAAUGCGCAGAUAUCAGGAGGAACACCGGUGGCGAAGGCGGGUCUCUGGGCCGAUACUGACGCUGAGGAGCGAAAGCGUGGGGAGCAAACAGG
RNAcentral lists this ribosomal RNA (253 nucleotides) under uncultured bacterium. RNAcentral describes it as "partial 16S ribosomal RNA". It matches the Rfam family "Bacterial small subunit ribosomal RNA", at positions 524 to 776 of the family's 1533-position model. The record is from RNAcentral.